RNAcentral lists this ribosomal RNA (433 nucleotides) under uncultured bacterium. Its description in RNAcentral is "partial 16S ribosomal RNA". It matches the Rfam family "Bacterial small subunit ribosomal RNA", at positions 29 to 507 of the family's 1533-position model. The record is from RNAcentral.
AACGAACGCUGGCGGCAUGCCUAACACAUGCAAGUCGAACGAGACCUUCGGGUCUAGUGGCGCACGGGUGCGUAACGCGUGGGAACCUGCCCUUAGGUUCGGAAUAACUCCCCGAAAGGGGUGCUAAUACCGGAUAAUGUCUUCGGACCAAAGAUUUAUCGCCUUUGGAUGGGCCCGCGUUGGAUUAGCUAGUUGGUAGGGUAAAAGCCUACCAAGGCGACGAUCCAUAGCUGGUCUGAGAGGAUGAUCAGCCACACUGGGACUGAGACACGGCCCAGACUCCUACCGGAGGCAGGAGUGGGGAAUAUUGGAACAUGGGCGAAAGCCUGAUCCAGCAAUGCCGCGUGAGUGAUGAAGGCCUUAGGGUUGUAAAGCUCUUUUACCCGGGAUGAUAAUGACAGUACCGGGAGAAUAAGCUCCGGCUAACUCCGUG